GAGCGAGCGGCGGGUGUCCCUGAGAGGCCACCUUUCGACCUUCGAGGGCCAGGAGGAUACGGGGAGGUGGCCGGAGGGAGUUCCCGAACACAGGUCUUCCUGUUCCCGCCGAGCAGGUGUUGGCGGUGCCAGGCCCGGCCUGGCGGGCCCGGGCUGGCAGCCAAAUACCCAGCGUCUGUGCUCGGGACGGGAGUGUUCGUCCAGGACGUGCAGCUCCGGAGCCUGCGCGGGCGACCUUGACCACCUUUGUCGGCUGUUUCCCCCUGAGGGAAGUAUACCUGUCCUGCCAGCCUUGGUCUCUGGCAGGGAAGGUCCUUCCAACAGAGAGGGAAUUGCUUAGAAUUGACUCAACACUGCCUCCUUGCUGAAUGGAUAAUUCAAGCAAACAACUCAAGAGCUGGAUGCUGCCCAGACAGGUAGGCAGCCAGAUAAAGUGAGUGUCCAGGGAAAGAGCAGUAAGGGUCAGAAGAGAAAGAGCCUGGUGUUCUCACUGCCUCCUGCCUUCCUUAUGACUGUCUGUUCAGAAGUCCUCCUAGCAUCUUUCUUCUGCCUUCCCCUGCUCCUGUCCCUGAAACCUUUUCUUCAAAAGAAGUGGAAAAGAGGAACUGGGAACCCAUAUAGCAACAGCAUCACCUGGAAUGAAUUCCUUUAGAACAUACUGUCUUGGAAAUCUGAAGCCUGCAGGGCUGGACAGGCAAGAAGAGCAGUGAGCACUGCAUGAACCUCACCCUUGAACUUCUAUAUGGUCUCCAAAGACAUGAUAAAUACAGAGAUUGCUCUCUCCUCUCAACUGCAACAGUAAUGAUUCCUUUGCAUUUUAAUUAAGUCUUUUACACAUGAAUAAGUCUUUAUCCUCAAAUGGACUAAAGACUCCUCGAGGACAAGAACUAUCCUUCAGUCCCAUACAUUGGUUACCUGGCAAAGGACCCUAAAUGCAGAUUAUGAAGUAGCUAUGGAAUUUGAAUGGGUUGAUUCUUCAGCUCCCAGAAAAAAACUUUGAUUGGUUUAACUGGCCACAGUAAUUGAUGUGGGAAUGAGGCCCUGACAUAAUUUCAACUUAGAAGACAUGUUCACUGGAAGUGAACUAGGAAGCAUGAAGUCUCAGACAUUCGACACUGAAAGAAUAAGCAGUCUUAGGAUGAAGGCAGUGCUAUGGACACCAGAACUCCAUGGUUCAGGCUGUUCAGCAUCAACUGUUCCUGACAGCCACCCUAACGUGCCUCCAGUUUCCUGGGCCAACAGAUGCCUGUCAUUGUUGAAGUUUCUUUGAGUUGGGUCUUCCGUUACUUACAAUUUAAAUCACCCUCACUGAUUACUAUGUACUUAAUUGUUCUCCUCCACUCUCUGCCAAUCCAUAUGCUGAAGCCUUAACCCCCAACGUGAUAGUAUUUGGAGACUGGAACUUUGGGAGAUAAUUAGAUUUAGAUGUGGUCAUGAGGAUGGGACCUUCAAGAUGAGAAUAGUAUCCUUAUAAAAAGUGGUACUAGAAAGCCUCUCUUUCUCUCUCUCUGCCACGUAAGAACACAGCAAGAAGGCAGCCAUCUGCAAGCCAGGAAGAGAGCCCUUACCAGAACUUGACCAUGCUGACACCCUGAUCUCAGAUGUGCAGCCUCCAGAACUGCAAAAAAGACACAUUUUCAUUGUUUAAGCUACCUAGUUUAUGGUAUUUUGUUACAGCAGCCCAAUCUGACUAAUACGCUGAUACAGGCAUAUUAGGGUACAUGCCACCAGCAGAGUGGUUCAACUGCAGGUCCACACUUACCCAGUGAAGGUGACUCAGCCUAGAGUGUGACUCAGUCUCUUCCCAACCCUGUCCGCAUCACCCCUGGAAGAGUCAGCUCCUCCCACAACUGCAGUCCUGACAGCAGCAUCAUGCCUCUGAAAUGAUCUUGCAAACAAGCUGUCAUUGGAGUGCUGAGAGAGUGGCAAUAUCAACUAAAAACAUGAAGAAGAAGAGCAACAAAGAGGAGGAAGAGGAGGAGAAGAGGGAAAGAAGUGAGGCGCUGUGGUGAAGAAUAGUACUUCUCAUCUCCACCAGAACAGCAGAGAACAAUGAAAGCACACCAUCAGGACGUCUCAGGGUACAGCCAGAAAAGCCAUUACCAUUUGUGCCAAUAUCUUUGAAAUCUUGUAUUUUGUCAUAAAAAGUUAUGCAGUUUCUGU
RNAcentral lists this long non-coding RNA (2163 nucleotides) under Homo sapiens (human). Its description in RNAcentral is "GOT1 divergent transcript, transcript variant 1 (GOT1-DT)". Lineage: Eukaryota; Metazoa; Chordata; Mammalia; Primates; Hominidae. The record is from RNAcentral.